UUUGUUUAUGUGGAUGCAUGAGACAAAGACACCAAGAAAGCCAACCCAUUCCCUUGAGGGUCGAGCUUCGCUGCCAAGGAAUCAGGCGACAGGUCAAAAGCAAGCUCAAUUUCACAAAAGCACAUGUAUAGAAAAGAUUAGAGAUUAGUUGUACCAGUAUAAUAUUUUUGUCUGAAGAAGCUUUCAAGAUCUUGUCUUGUCGGUGCCUGUCUACUUCUGAAUCCCAUGAUUUGAAGCUUCUUCAUGUUAUAAAACUCUACUACUUACUCCAUCCAACCUAGUUGACAGCUAACAGCUAAACUUUCUCCACUCAAUGAGAUCCCUACGAUUUGCCAUCUUUCUGAUUUUCUUCUUCUACUUUGCUCUAGUAGCGCAUGGACGUGCAACAUCCAAUGGAAUAGUGGUAGGUUCCAUUAAAUCCUUCGAUUUGGGAAGAUCCGGGUGUCAAAAAGUUAACGUAGAAUGCGAGAAGGUUGACGGCAGAAAAGAGAAUGUUUUCGAACAUGAAGACUAUGUGUACACUCAAUCUCUUCCUUAACUAUGUUUCCUACUUCAAAUGCCUGAGAUAAAGGGGAAAUCAAAACCUGUCUCUUUAGCUAGUUAUUCAAGUACCUGCAGCAAUUUACAAGUCAAUUCGAAGCUCCGAACUUCUUUCCUUUGAGAAAACUGCAAGUCCUCUGAAGAUGACGUUUCUGGCUAAGUAAUAAAUUUUGCCUUUGUAUUUGAAAGAAUAAAGGGAAGGUCUUGGUGUGCAAAUGGUAGAUGUUAAGUGCAAAGAAGGAUGGAUUAAAAUAACAUGUUUCAAACAUGAAGAAGGCUGUCUAUAGUCAGCAAUUCUCUUCGGUUGUGGAUAGUCUCAUAACUCAUGCCUUGUAAAUGAUCUAUUUUGACGAGAAAUAUUACACUGCAAACAGCAAGGAUAUACCUUUUAUAAGUAAUGGUAGUUCACAACGAA
This is a long non-coding RNA of Cucumis melo (muskmelon), 955 nucleotides long. RefSeq lists it as uncharacterized. The transcript is spliced from 2 exons. NCBI's taxonomy places the organism in Eukaryota, Viridiplantae, Streptophyta, Magnoliopsida, Cucurbitales, Cucurbitaceae. The record is from RefSeq and is a predicted model, not a curated record.